RNAcentral lists this ribosomal RNA (749 nucleotides) under Bacteroides thetaiotaomicron. RNAcentral's name for it is "partial 23S ribosomal RNA". It matches the Rfam family "Bacterial large subunit ribosomal RNA", at positions 1484 to 2233 of the family's 2925-position model. The record is from RNAcentral. Lineage: Bacteria; Pseudomonadati; Bacteroidota; Bacteroidia; Bacteroidales; Bacteroidaceae.
AGCGCCGCGGACUGACGGAAUAGUCCGUUGAAGGGUGUAGAUGUUGAUUAUCCCAGGCAAAUCCAGGAUAAGAGUCGAACCUGAUAGUAUGGAGCGUUCUUCGGAACAAUCCAAUAGUGCGUGUAAGCAUACUCCCAAGAAAAUCCGCUAAACUUAAUCCUUGAGGUACCCGUACCGCAAACGGACACACGUAGUCGGGUUGAAUAUACUAAGGCGCUUGAGUGAUUCACGGUUAAGGAACUAGGCAAAUUGACCCUGUAACUUCGGGAUAAAGGGUCCCAACGAGAGUUGGGCGCAGAGAAUAGGUCCAGGCAACUGUUUAACAAAAACACAGGGCUGUGCAAAAUUGAAAGAUUACGUAUACAGCCUGACACCUGCCCGGUGCUGGAAGGUUAAGAGGAGAUGUCAUCGCAAGAGAAGCAUUGAAUUGAAGCCCCAGUAAACGGCGGCCGUAACUAUAACGGUCCUAAGGUAGCGAAAUUCCUUGUCGGGUAAGUUCCGACCUGCACGAAUGGUGUAAUGAUCUGGACACUGUCUCAACCGUGAGCUCAGUGAAAUUGUAGUAUCGGUGAAGAUGCCGAUUACCCGCGAUGGGACGAAAAGACCCCGUGAACCUUUACUAUAGCUUAACAUUGAAUUUGGGUAAUUGAUGUGUAGGAUAGGCCGGAGACUUUGAAGCAGGUACGCCAGUAUUUGUGGAGUCGCUGUUGAAAUACGGCCCUUUGAUUAUUUGAGUUCUAACUCGUAGU